UACAGAGGGGGCAAGCGUUGUUCGGAAUUACUGGGCGUAAAGGGCGCGUAGGCGGCCUGCUAAGUCGAACGUGAAAUCCCUGGGCUCAACCCAGGAACUGCGUCCGAUACUGGUUGGCUUGAAUCCGGGAGAGGGAUGUGGAAUUCCGCGUGUAGCAGUGAAAUUCGUAGAUAUUCGGAGGAACACCAGUGGCGAAGGCGGCUCACUGGUCCAUUACUGACGCUGAGGUGCGAAAGCGUGGGGAGCAAACAGG
RNAcentral lists this ribosomal RNA (253 nucleotides) under uncultured bacterium. RNAcentral's name for it is "partial 16S ribosomal RNA". It matches the Rfam family "Bacterial small subunit ribosomal RNA", at positions 524 to 776 of the family's 1533-position model. The record is from RNAcentral.